This 468-nucleotide ribosomal RNA is filed under the name uncultured bacterium. Its description in RNAcentral is "partial 16S ribosomal RNA". It matches the Rfam family "Bacterial small subunit ribosomal RNA", at positions 28 to 507 of the family's 1533-position model. The record is from RNAcentral.
GAUGAACGCUGGCGGCGUGCUUAACACAUGCAAGUCGAACGGAAAGGCCGAAGCUUGCUUCGGUACUCGAGUGGCGAACGGGUGAGUAACACGUGGGUGAUCUGCCCUGUACUUCGGGAUAAGCUUGGGAAACUGGGUCUAAUACCGGAUAUGACGAUCUCUUGGAUGGGGUUGUGGAAAGCUUUUGCGGUAUGGGAUGAGCUCGCGGCCUAUCAGCUUGUUGGUGGGGUAAUGGCCUACCAAGGCGUCGACGGGUAGCCGGCCUGAGAGGGUGUACGGCCACAUUGGGACUGAGAUACGGCCCAGACUCCUACGGGGGGCAGCAAUGGGGAAUAUUGCACAAUGGGCGCAAGCCUGAUGCAGCGACGCCGCGUGGGGGAUGACGGCCUUCGGGUUGUAAACUCCUUUCGCAAUCGACGAAGCCUUUUGGUGACGGUAGGUUGAGAAGAAGCACCGGCUAACUACGUG